GAUGAACGCUAGCUACAGGCUUAACACAUGCAAGUCGAGGGGCAGCAUGGUCUUAGCUUGCUAAGGCCGAUGGCGACCGGCGCACGGGUGAGUAACACGUAUCCAACCUGCCGUCUACUCUUGGACAGCCUUCUGAAAGGAAGAUUAAUACAAGAUGGCAUCAUGAGUCCGCAUGUUCACAUGAUUAAAGGUAUUCCGGUAGACGAUGGGGAUGCGUUCCAUUAGAUAGUAGGCGGGGUAACGGCCCACCUAGUCUUCGAUGGAUAGGGGUUCUGAGAGGAAGGUCCCCCACAUUGGAACUGAGACACGGUCCAAACGCCUACGGGAGGCAGCAGUGAGGAAUAGUGGGCAAGGGGCGCAGGCCUGAACCAGCCAAGUAGCGUGAAGGAUGACUGCGCUAUGGGUUGUAAACUUCUUUUAUAAAGGAAUAAAGUCGGGUAUGGAUACCCGUUUGCAUGUACUUUAUGAAUAAGGAUCGGCUAACUCCGUG
Molecule: ribosomal RNA, 490 nt
Filed under: uncultured bacterium
Lineage: Bacteria
Description: partial 16S ribosomal RNA
Rfam family: Bacterial small subunit ribosomal RNA
Source: RNAcentral